RNAcentral lists this ribosomal RNA (1603 nucleotides) under Allobates kingsburyi. RNAcentral describes it as "16S ribosomal RNA". It matches the Rfam family "Bacterial large subunit ribosomal RNA", at positions 387 to 2925 of the family's 2925-position model. The record is from RNAcentral. Lineage: Eukaryota; Metazoa; Chordata; Amphibia; Anura; Aromobatidae.
GCCAAAUUUCUAGCCUCAAACCCAACCUAUAAACUUCACUAACUUUUCCCUAUAAACUAAAACAUUUUUUCAAUUUAGUAAAGGCGAUAAAAAAAUUUUUUAGAGCAAUAAAAAUAGUACCGUAAGGGAACGAUGAAAUAAAACUGAAAUAACGAUAAAGCACAGAAAAGUAAAGUUUUUCCCUUGUACCUUUUGCAUCAUGGUUUAACUAGUCCUCUUAGGCAAAAAGAUUUUUAGUCUAACCCCCCGAACCUAGGCGAGCUACUUUAAGACAGCUUUAUGGGCCAACCCGUCUCUGUUGCAAAAGAGUGGGAAGAUCUUACAGUAGCGGUGAUAGACCAAACGAGCCUAGUGAUAGCUGGUUGCUUCUUAAAAGGAUUUUAGUCCAACUUAAAGUUACUCUUAUUCUUAAUAAAUUAGACUUUAAAGCUAUUCAAAUAAGGUCCAGCCUAUUUGAAAAAGGAUACAACCUAUACCACCGGGUUCCCUCAUAAUCCUAAAAAUAAAGUGGGCCUAAAAGCAGCCACCUUUAAUAAAAGCGUCAUAGCUUUCUUCUUAUAAUUUUUAAUCCCUUAAAUUUCCCUCAACCCUUCACCACUAAAAAGCAACUCUAUAUCCCUAUAGAAAAUUUUAUGUUAAAACUAGUAACAAGAAGCAGCCCUUCUCUUAAAUGUGCCUGUCUCCCAACACAAACCCUAUUGGAAAUUAACGUAUAUAAAACUAAAGUAAAACCUCUUCAAGAAAACCCUACUAUUACUAACGUUAACCUAACACAAGAACAUUAAAAGAAAGAUUAAAAGAUAAAGAAGGAACUCGGCAAACAUUAGCCCCGCCUGUUUACCAAAAACAUCGCCUCCUGAUUAACCAUAAGAGGUCAAGCCUGCCCAGUGACAUUUGUUUAACGGCCGCGGUAUCCUAACCGUGCGAAGGUAGCGUAAUCACUUGUCCUUUAAAUGAGGACUAGUAUGAACGGCUUCACGAAGGCUAUGCUGUCUCCUUUAUCCAAUCAGUUAAACUAAUCUCCCCGUGAAGAAGCGGGGAUACAUCUAUAAGACGAGAAGACCCUAUGGAGCUUUAAAUACUUUAAAACACCUGAAUCUGACACUAGAAACUUCCAGAAAGCUUUAUUUAACAUAUCACUUUGUUUUAAACUUUAGGUUGGGGUGACCACGGAGAAAAAACCAACCUCCACGUAGAAUGAAAUUUUCUUUCUAAGCGAUAAGCUACAUCUUUAUGCAUCAAUACAUUGACCUAAAUUGACCCAAUUUUUUGAUCAACGAACCAAGUUACCCUAGGGAUAACAGCGCAAUCCGCUUUAAGAGCCCCUAUCGACAAGCGGGAUUACGACCUCGAUGUUGGAUCAGGAUGUCCCAGUGGUGCAGCAGCUACUAAUGCGUUCGUUUGUUCAACGAUUAAAAUCCUACGUGAUCUGAGUUCAGACCGGAGUAAUCCAGGUCAGUUUCUAUCUAUAAAGAGCUUUUUCUAGUACGAAAGGACCGAAAAAUCAUGGCCAAUGCCUUUAAAUGUAAGCCAUCACUCCUUAACUUAUGCUAAAAACUUAACAAUAAAGAGCCUUUAACGAACUUUAAAACCAAAAACCUAA